RNAcentral lists this unclassified non-coding RNA (628 nucleotides) under Hevea brasiliensis (rubber tree). The record is from RNAcentral. Lineage: Eukaryota; Viridiplantae; Streptophyta; Magnoliopsida; Malpighiales; Euphorbiaceae.
AGGUACCCAGAUAAGCAAACAGUGUUAAGAGUGUGGGAAGAAGGCAAUCCGUACUCCAAAGCGUUAUCUUCCUCAUCUUUUGUGGCAGUUAUUCUUCUAACAGGAGGACACUUGGGUCUAGGAGCUGAUACCACAUCCUUUAUGCAAUUCCCUGCAUAAUCACAGAAAGCCAUUAGAAGGGUCAUUUGCCUAGCCAAUUUGCCAUGCCCACUCCAGAAUAGCAGAGGAAGAAAAGCAGUGUAAAAGGGCACAGAAACAACACAGGACAACCCAGAGAAUACAGCAUCCAAAAAUCCAUGCUCAUACUUCUGGAUCUGUAUAAUAAGAGGAGUGCCAGUGAUGACAUGAUGGGUCACCCAAGGUUGAACCAAAGAUCUAAUCAUUUGGGUCACGUUGAGACAUGAAGAAAUAACAAUCCAUGACAAAAUCCCAGCAAGAGUCACCCCUUGCCACAAUGCUAUGCUCUCCAUUAAUCUCUCACUUUCCCUCUAUACCCAGAAACAAGAAGGAUCAAAAAAGGAAAACAACAGAAAUUGGGAAGCACAAAGUUUGAAGUUUGAAAACUGUUGGCCAGACUUUGGCACAGAAGUCAGGAGGAGGAAACUGGGUUCUAAAUUUUCCCUUUUCU